UUUCCAGCUGAUUCACAUCAAUGAAGAUCAGAUGAUUCUCUAACGUUCUCUUUCACCAUCAGAACAGCAGAACAUCUCCAGCCUGAAAGAAAAGAAGACCCCAGCAGUGAAAUCAGGUAAAAAGUCCCUAUGCUAAUCUUGCGAGGCCCACCACUCUGCCCUCAAAACAUUGGAGUGCUCCAGUGGAACCACUGUUGAAAAAUUAGUUGAGGUCAUUCGGACUGGACUCCUGUCUUCUGGACUCUGAAAUCUGCUCAGCAGCGAUUUUACAUGAGUUUUGAAUGUGUUUGUGUGAUUAAAGCACUUUACUAACAAA
Pygocentrus nattereri (red-bellied piranha) is the source of this 316-nucleotide long non-coding RNA. RefSeq lists it as uncharacterized. The record is from RefSeq and is a predicted model, not a curated record. The transcript has 2 exons. Lineage: Eukaryota; Metazoa; Chordata; Actinopteri; Characiformes; Serrasalmidae.